CGUCCUCCGUCGGUGCCCUUUACGCACCACCUGAAGCAGCAAAGGAUCAUGGGGGUGUCCAUCCUGGUUGUGACCCAGGAUCGACUGGGCCGUGAGUAAAUGUCAGAGAUCACUGCCAGCACUGUGAUCAAGCAUGGCAGUGUGGAUGGGAGCGCGCCUCCUCUCCCCUCCCCAUCCCUGUCCAGAGACAUUACCAGCUUCCCCCAAGGACGUCCGCAAAGAUCCGGCCCUAAUUUAAUCCGACACAUUACCUGCGGAGUCUUAGUGCUUGAGCAGUUCCACUGAAGAGUCAAUAUCAAUCAUGUAACCUGAUGGCAGUCUCUCUGGACCAGAUGCCCAGCCUGUGGGAUACCUUACGGAGUCUGUCCCAGUAGUGUCCCAUUCAUGAAUAUGGAUCUCACUAGCCAGAAAAGGAAGGUGUGCUUUUUGAGCCUUCAACCCAUGCCAUCACGAUUCCCCACAAUUUAUACUACUCCUACACUCAGCACCUGUACUGUGUCAGACAACAUGAAAUAGGGGAGAAGACAUCUGAAUUGAGUGAUGUCACAGGACAGGUCAAAGGACACAGUGUGAAUGUGUUGUUGAAGUCUGGCCGUGAGCUCACCUGGAACAUGAUGCGGUACUGUUCCUCCGGCCGGUCCACCACACACAUGUUGCACCCCAUCUCGAACGGUCAGCGAUGGCUUCCGGCACUUUCCAGACC
Molecule: long non-coding RNA, 703 nt
Organism: Alosa sapidissima (American shad)
Lineage: Eukaryota; Metazoa; Chordata; Actinopteri; Clupeiformes; Clupeidae
Exons: 4
Source: RefSeq, a predicted model, not a curated record